UACGAAGGGGGCUAGCGUUGCUCGGAAUCACUGGGCGUAAAGGGCGCGUAGGCGGUUUGUUAAGUCGGUCGUGAAAGCCCGGGGCUCAACCCCGGAGGGUCGACCGAUACUGGCAGACUAGAGUACAGAAGGGGCAACUGGAAUUCUCGGUGUAGCGGUGAAAUGCGUAGAUAUCGAGAGGAACACCUGCGGCGAAGGCGGGUUGCUGGGCUGACACUGACGCUGAUGCGCGAAAGCUAGGGGAGCGAACGGG
This 253-nucleotide ribosomal RNA is filed under the name uncultured bacterium. Its description in RNAcentral is "partial 16S ribosomal RNA". It matches the Rfam family "Bacterial small subunit ribosomal RNA", at positions 524 to 776 of the family's 1533-position model. The record is from RNAcentral.